This 253-nucleotide ribosomal RNA is filed under the name uncultured bacterium. RNAcentral describes it as "partial 16S ribosomal RNA". It matches the Rfam family "Bacterial small subunit ribosomal RNA", at positions 524 to 776 of the family's 1533-position model. The record is from RNAcentral.
UACGUAGGGUGCGAGCGUUGUCCGGAAUUACUGGGCGUAAAGAGCUCGUAGGUGGUUUGUCGCGUUGUCCGUGAGAACUCACAACUCAAUUGUGGGCGUGCGGGCGAUACGGGCAGACUGGAGUACUGCAGGGGAGACUGGAAUUCCUGGUGUAGCGGUGAAAUGCGCAGAUAUCAGGAGGAACACCGGUGGCGAAGGCGGGUCUCUGGGCCGAUACUGACGCUGAGGAGCGAAAGCGUGGGGAGCAAACAGG